This 404-nucleotide ribosomal RNA is filed under the name uncultured Sphingobacteriales bacterium. RNAcentral describes it as "bacterial SSU rRNA". It matches the Rfam family "Bacterial small subunit ribosomal RNA", at positions 987 to 1382 of the family's 1533-position model. The record is from RNAcentral. Lineage: Bacteria; Pseudomonadati; Bacteroidota; Sphingobacteriia; Sphingobacteriales.
GUAGAGUGCUAUUUUUUUAGAGAUAGAAAUUUCCCUUCGGGGCUUUUCUUGCAAGGUGCUGCAUGGUUGUCGUCAGCUCGUGCCGUAAGGUGUCGGGUUAAGUCCCAUAACGAGCGCAACCCUUAUCGUUAGUUGCCAUCUGGUAAUGCAGGGGACUCUAGCGAAACUGCCACCGUAAGGUGAGAGGAAGGUGGGGAUGACGUCAAAUCAGCACGGCCCUUAUGUCCAGGGCUACACACGUGUUACAAUGGUCGGUACAGAGGGCAGCUACCUGGUCCCGACAGGAUGCUAAUCUCGAAAACCGGUCUCAGUUCGGAUCGGAGUCUGCAACUCGACUCCCGUGAAGCUGGAUUCGCUAGUAAUCGCGCAUCAGCCAUGGCGCGGUGAAUACGUUCCCGGGCCUU